AGAUAGGGGAAUUGCUAGGUUCAUGCUGUUUUAGUUUAUAGGUAGUUUGGGGUGUGUGGGGAGAAGGAUUUAACCCACAAACAGGAAAUGUGGCUAGAGAUGCUGUUGGGGUUUUGCUUUGUGUGGAUAUGCUUUUGAUCUCACCAGUGCUACCCCCAUGUUUAUAAUUCCAUUUUCAAAUUGUAGUAAUGCUUUUCAUAAUGCCUAGAUUCCCCCUCCCUCUACAGCUGGUGUUUCGCCUUCCUCAACACUUUAGUCCCAGACCGUUACAGGGUAGGGGAGCUCCCACCUUCAUGGUGAUGAGCUUGCACCUGCAGACUUUGUUGUCCUAGUUCUCCUACGUCCACUGCUGCUUUUGCAGCCUCUUCGGUCAAGGUUUCAUAGCAAUAGACACAUCAUAGGGCAAUAGCAGAGCAUCCUGCAAACUUCUUACCAGAGCCCCAGGUGUCUGCACAGCAGCAUAGGGAACCUGGCUAUUGCCUGUUGCUGUACUGCCCAAGGAAAACUACCAAUUAAAAUCCACUGGUAACACAGAAGCUGCUGCAGUGGAUUUAUCAGUUUCUUUAUAUCUUCAGUGCCUUCUGCUCUGGGUGCCUGUAGUUUUACAGAGUUAGCAUAUAACCCCAUCUCUCCUCAGCCAGAGGCUGCAACUGUUUUGGCAUUCCCACAAUUCCUCUGUAGUAAACUUUUCUUCAGCGUUGCUGAUUUAGAGUGCGUGCUUUUGUUCCAAUCCAGCAGGAGCAGCAUUUCAGUCGUUGCCUAUGCUUGUGUGUCGUAUUUAUAGGAGCUGUUGAACAGUUGCUGUGUUGAAUCCCAGAAGUGGCUGUAUUUUACUAGAAGGUCCUUAGCCUAAAUCUGAGGGAUGCUGAACACCCACCUCUUCCAAGGAAGUCACUGGAAGCUGCAAGUGCUCAAUACCUCUCAAAAUUAGGCCUGUAUGUAGAGCACAAGGCACUAUGCUAUAGUUCUGGUUCUGUUGUAAGUUACAAUAACAUACUAACCAAAAGAUGUGAGUGCCAGCACAAGCCGUUGAUUGUAAUAUAGAGCCUGCUGGAUUGCUAGCUCUUCACACACUGAGAACCAGUAGCAAGAUCUACAAACUACUGAAAUAUUGGAUUGCACAGGAGCGUACUGCUGACUGCAAAAUGACCUUCCUGAUCCCCUCCAAAGUAUGGUAGCACCGGGUGCAGCACAGUACAAUAGAGUAGGAAGGUGGAACAGAAAGGUUGUGACUUGCCAAGACCACAGAGUGAAUCAGAACCUGGAUUAGAACUCAGGACUUCCUGGUAACUGGUCCUGUGCUCAAGCCAUUACCUCAUUUCCUUGUCUAUAAUAAAUAUGGUGGUGGUUAGGUUUAAAUUUUCUUGUAAUGUUUCAGCUCUAAUCGCUGCUAAUAAUUGAAAACACUUCAUCUCACAACAGCUGUCUCAAGAGUUUCCAUGAUAACCAUGUGACUGUGUAAUGAGAAUAUGAGUUAAUUUUGUCAAGGUGAAGUUGGUACUUUUGAGGGAUAAGGAAAUAAGAAUUCAAUUACUUUCCAUUAAGUGGGUUGGUUGCUAUAAUUGCUUGUUGGUCUAACAGGUUUCCCCAUUUUGAUGUCUACUAUUUUGUUAACCUGAACAGAAAAUAAGCCUAAACCUAAUAUAUGCCCAG
This is a long non-coding RNA of Chelonia mydas (Green sea turtle), 1653 nucleotides long. RefSeq lists it as uncharacterized. The record is from RefSeq and is a predicted model, not a curated record. The transcript is spliced from 6 exons. Lineage: Eukaryota; Metazoa; Chordata; Testudines; Cheloniidae.